CGUGCAGGCGGCUCUAUGAGUCAGAUGUGAAAGCCCCAGGCUCAACCUGGGAAUUGCGUUUGAUACCGUAGAGCUUGAGGCCGGGAGAGGGAAGUGGAAUUCCUGGUGUAGCGGUGAAAUGCGUAGAUAUCAGGAGGAACACCGGUGGCGAAGGCGGCUUCCUGGACCGGUUCUGACGCUGAGACGACGAAAGCGGUGGGGAGCGAACG
This 209-nucleotide ribosomal RNA is filed under the name uncultured bacterium. RNAcentral's name for it is "partial 16S ribosomal RNA". It matches the Rfam family "Bacterial small subunit ribosomal RNA", at positions 568 to 774 of the family's 1533-position model. The record is from RNAcentral.